This 446-nucleotide ribosomal RNA is filed under the name Jingkara sp. YT-2009. RNAcentral's name for it is "partial 16S ribosomal RNA". Lineage: Eukaryota; Metazoa; Arthropoda; Insecta; Hemiptera; Membracidae. The record is from RNAcentral.
GGUUUGGAAGGGGAGAUUUGGGGUGUGCAAAGGGAGCAUAAUAAUUUGUCUUUUAAUUAAAGUCUGGUAUGAAUGAUUGGAUGAGAAAAUUACUUUCUUUAUAAUUUUAUUUUAACUUAAUCUUUAAGUGAAAAAGCUUAAAUUAAUUUAUGGGACGAUAAGACCCUAUAGAGCUUUAUAUUUUCUUUAUAUAUAUAUAUAUAUAUAAUUUAUAAUUAUAUUUAUAUUGAAAAUAUUUAAUUGGGGUGAUUAAUAAAUAAAAUUAACUUUAUUUUAUAGUUAUCAUUAAUUAAUGAAAUAUUGAUCCAAUAAUAUUGAUUAAAAGAUAAAGUUACCUUAGGGAUAACAGCGUUAUUUAUUUGGAGAGUUCAAAUCGAUAAAUAAGUUUGCGACCUCGAUGUUGGAUUAAGAUAAGUUUAGGGGGUAGAUUUUCUAAAUUCUAGGUC